Molecule: non-coding RNA, 37 nt
Filed under: Schistosoma curassoni
Lineage: Eukaryota; Metazoa; Platyhelminthes; Trematoda; Strigeidida; Schistosomatidae
Source: RNAcentral
AUCCAGCUGACGAGUCCCAAAUAGGACGAAGUGUGCG